GAUGAAGAACGUAGCGAAAUGCGAUAACUAAUGUGAAUUGCAGAAUUCCGUGAAUCAUCGAGUCUUUGAACGCACAUUGCGCCCCCUGGUAUUCCGGGGGGCAUGCCUGUCCGAGCGUCAUUGCAACCCUCAAGCACGGCUUGUCUAAUGGGCGGUUCGUCUGCGGCAAUCCGCCGGAGACGCCCCCGAAAUGCAGUGGGGAUGUUCGCUAAAUCGCAGCGUCAGGAAUGGAAAUAAACAAUGCUGACGGCUCGAUGUCGAACGUCCACCUAAGGCGUGCCGCCCCCCGGGGUGUGCCGCCCAACCUCUCUCGGUUGACCUCGGAUCAGGUAGGGAUACCCGCUGAACUUAAGCAUAUCAAUAAGCGGAGGA
This 372-nucleotide unclassified non-coding RNA is filed under the name soil metagenome. RNAcentral's name for it is "partial contains 5.8S ribosomal RNA, internal transcribed spacer 2, and large subunit ribosomal RNA". The stretch from base 1 to 120 matches the Rfam family "5.8S ribosomal RNA", at positions 35 to 154 of the family's 154-position model. The record is from RNAcentral.